UGUAAUCCAUAUAUACAUACAUAAUCAACAUCAGUGUGGACGUAGCCCAAACAUUAGGGGUGAACCAUGAUACAUUUUUGUGUUCUUGUGCGUUUGUGCGAUUCACGGCCGGAUUUACGUUGGUCCAAGAUCCUUCGGAUUUUGUGCAUCAACAUUUGGCGCCAUCUGUGAUAAACGACACGAAAAGCUAUGUCGGUUCUCUUUCAUUUUUUUCAUCUCACCACCGUGAAACCUCA
RNAcentral lists this long non-coding RNA (236 nucleotides) under Malus domestica (apple). RNAcentral's name for it is "long non-coding RNA (MDOM_LNC016140)". Lineage: Eukaryota; Viridiplantae; Streptophyta; Magnoliopsida; Rosales; Rosaceae. The record is from RNAcentral.